Molecule: long non-coding RNA, 230 nt
Organism: Papilio polytes (common Mormon)
Lineage: Eukaryota; Metazoa; Arthropoda; Insecta; Lepidoptera; Papilionidae
Exons: 3
Source: RefSeq, a predicted model, not a curated record
UAAUCUGCGAGCCCAUGACUCCGAUCAAGCAAAACGAGACUUGGAAUGUUCAAAAAAUUAUUCUCGAAACGAAAUACUUGACAAAUCGAGAUAAACGCAUUAACAUCACUAUAAACACGUACAACCACUGCGAAAACGAAACUGAUAAAAUAACAGAGGAAUUGGUUAUUGAAUUACAAAAUGAUCUUACAAAUUUAAUUUUGACAAGUGAAGCAAUACCAGGCGAUAUU